This 301-nucleotide ribosomal RNA is filed under the name uncultured bacterium. RNAcentral's name for it is "partial 16S ribosomal RNA". It matches the Rfam family "Bacterial small subunit ribosomal RNA", at positions 509 to 807 of the family's 1533-position model. The record is from RNAcentral.
CAGCAGCCGCGGUAAUACGUAGGGUGCGAGCGUUAAUCGGAUUUACUGGGCGUAAAGCGUGCGCAGGCGGCCCGUUAAGACAGGUGUGAAAUCCCUGGGCUCAACCUAGGAAUUGCGCUUGUGACUGGCGGGCUCGAGUACGGUAGAGGGGGGUGGAAUUCCUGGUGUAGCAGUGAAAUGCGUAGAGAUCAGGAGGAACACCGAUGGCGAAGGCAGCCCCCUGGGCCUGUACUGACGCUCAUGCACGAAAGCGUGGGGAGCAAACAGGAUUAGAUACCCCUGUAGUCCCUGUCUCUUAUAC